UAGUGUUACAGCUCUUUUAGAAUUUGUCUAGCAGGUUUUCUGGUUUCUACCAGAAAGCCAUA
RNAcentral lists this small nuclear RNA (62 nucleotides) under Echinops telfairi (small Madagascar hedgehog). RNAcentral's name for it is "U7 small nuclear RNA (ENSETEG00000025590.1)". It matches the Rfam family "U7 small nuclear RNA". Rfam says of the family: Animal histone pre-mRNAs are spliced by a different mechanism than nuclear pre-mRNAs and self-splicing introns. Lineage: Eukaryota; Metazoa; Chordata; Mammalia; Afrosoricida; Tenrecidae. The record is from RNAcentral.